This 490-nucleotide ribosomal RNA is filed under the name uncultured bacterium. Its description in RNAcentral is "partial 16S ribosomal RNA". It matches the Rfam family "Bacterial small subunit ribosomal RNA", at positions 28 to 507 of the family's 1533-position model. The record is from RNAcentral.
GAUGAACGCUAGCGAUAGGCUUAACACAUGCAAGUCGAGGGGCAGCAUGGUCUUAGCUUGCUAAGACUGAUGGCGACCGGCGCACGGGUGCGUAACGCGUAUGCAACUUGCCUCACAGAGGGGGAUAACCCGUCGAAAGACGGACUAAUACCGCGUACACUUGGGAUAGGGCAUCCUGACCCAAGGAAAUGAAAUUCGCUGUGAGAUAGGCAUGCGUCCCAUUAGCUAGUUGGUGAGGUAACGGCUCACCAAGGCGACGAUGGGUAGGGGAACUGAGAGGGUGAACCCCCACACGGGUACUGGGACACGGACCAGACUCCUACGGGAGGCAGCAGUGAGGAAUAUUGGUCAAUGGGCGAGAGCCUGAACCAGCCAAGUCGCGUGAAGGAUGACUGUCUUAUGGAUUGUAAACUUCUUUUAUACGGGAAUAACAAGAGUCACGUGUGGCUCCCUGCAUGUACCGGAUGAAUAAGCAUCGGCUAACUCCGUG